GACGAACGCUGGCGGCGUGCCUAAUACAUGCAAGUAGAACGCUGAAGGAGGAGCUUGCUCUUUCCGGAUGAGUUGCGAACGGGUGAGUAACGCGUAGGUAACCUGCCUGGUAGCGGGGGAUAACUAUUGGAAACGAUAGCUAAUACCGCAUAACAGUAGAUAUCGCAUGAUAGCUGCUUGAAAGGUGCAAUUGCACCACUACCAGAUGGACCUGCGUUGUAUUAGCUAGUUGGUGAGGUAACGGCUCACCAAGGCAACGAUACAUAGCCGACCUGAGAGGGUGAUCGGCCACACUGGGACUGAGACACGGCCCAGACUCCUACGGGAGGCAGCAGUAGGGAAUCUUCGGCAAUGGACGGAAGUCUGACCGAGCAACGCCGCGUGAGUGAAGAAGGUUUUCGGAUCGUAAAGCUCUGUUGUAAGAGAAGAACGAGUGUGAGAGUGGAAAGUUCACACUGUGACGGUAUCUUACCAGAAAGGGACGGCUAACUACGUGCCAGCAGCCGCGGUAAUACGUAGGUCCCGAGCGUUGUCCGGAUUUAUUGGGCGUAAAGCGAGCGCAGGCGGUUAGAUAAGUCUGAAGUUAAAGGCUGUGGCUUAACCAUAGUACGCUUUGGAAACUGUUUAACUUGAGUGCAAGAGGGGAGAGUGGAAUUCCAUGUGUAGCGGUGAAAUGCGUAGAUAUAUGGAGGAACACCGGUGGCGAAAGCGGCUCUCUGGCUUGUAACUGACGCUGAGGCUCGAAGGCGUGGGGAGCAAACAGG
This 764-nucleotide ribosomal RNA is filed under the name uncultured Streptococcus sp. RNAcentral describes it as "bacterial SSU rRNA". It matches the Rfam family "Bacterial small subunit ribosomal RNA", at positions 28 to 776 of the family's 1533-position model. The record is from RNAcentral. Lineage: Bacteria; Bacillati; Bacillota; Bacilli; Lactobacillales; Streptococcaceae.